This 2443-nucleotide long non-coding RNA is filed under the name Fukomys damarensis (Damara mole-rat). Its description in RNAcentral is "lncRNA (ENSFDAG00000024711.1)". Lineage: Eukaryota; Metazoa; Chordata; Mammalia; Rodentia; Bathyergidae. The record is from RNAcentral.
GGUGAAUUCAGGGUAAGGUUGCUACUCCCUACAUCUCAAGACUAAGAAGAAAAUAUCUAAAGUUUCUUCAGAACUACUUUCCAGCUCGCCCAGGUCCACCCACGGGAGCAGGCUAACCCUUUGGUUGGGAGCAGAGGAUGUUUUUUGGUAUUUCUAGUACUGCCCAUGGCAAAUCUGAGCACAGCUUUAGCUCCCUUUUCAAAGCUGCAGGACCCCAUGCCUGCCCGUUCAUACUUGGCCUGUGGCCGCAAGGGCACAAUCUUGCCUCUUUCUCUCUACGCCUCACCUCUCUGUCGCUGUGUCGGAGGAAGCACAGGUUAAGAUGCCAGUUGUAUUUGCGGGCUGUGCUGCUGCAGCGUGAGAGGCAGAGAACGGCAGCGUGGGGACCCAGGGAAAGGAGCGAGAAAUCCAGAAAAACGGCUCCAUCGGGGGCAAGGGCCCUAACUGGGAGCGCUCCUGUGCUGCCGCCAUGGUAUUUCCCACGGCUUAUCCUGAGAAAUAAGCUAACAAACCCCAGGGCACCUCUUGCUCGUCUUAACGUCUGUCCUGGGACUUCCGGUUUGCCAAUCAAGUCAAAUCAUCUCCUCUCCCAGAAGACCCUGCGGCGCCGCCCCGCCCACCCUACCCUAGAACUGCUGGGCAGCUGCUCUUUUUCAGGGUGUGACCGGUCACCCUGCCAUCUCCCCAUCUCCGGUCCCUAGGCCCUUCUUCCUGUGCCCCCUGCCAUCUCCCCAUCUCCGGUCCCUAGGCCCUUCUUCCUGUGCCCCCCCCACCCCUUUCCAAGUGCCAUUGUGGUCCAACUCUUUCUCGGAUCACAUUCUGGGAAUUGAGACAUAGCAGAAAAGAAAGAAGAAAUUAUUUCCUGUGACUUGGUUUCAUAAAAAUAGAAUGGGUUUUAUAAAAAGAAGGACAGGAGUGGCAUGCAUCCACCUAGUAGUUUCUCUAAUUAUAGAUGGUUGGGGUGUCAAGGACAACCAUAUUGGGUGACAGGAGGGUUGCAUCAGACAGGAUGUCUCGUUUCCAACUUCCCUUCUUCGUGCCCUGUGCGUGCCCUAAUCAGCAUUUUAAAAUUACAACCUGGUUGUCAUCCAAAACGGAAGUCUUCCCACUAGCUGAGCGGUGGCUUACAAUUUCAUAUUACCAAAAAUAUUUCAUUCCCAGGGUCUGGCUUUAUUGUCUGAAGUUUUGGUGAUUUCCUCUUUCCUUGGAAAUAAAGGACUAUUUUUCUCCCCAGGGAAAAGACAGACAUUUAAGAAGAAGUGGAAGCUGGAAAAAAGAUACAAAACUGCAAUCUUAUUCCCACUGUGGCGAAGUCAAUAUCCUUUGCUGUUACUAGUAAAAUUGCUCCUUCAAGAGUGCGAAGUAGGAUGUCAGAAGCUCAACAUUUGAAUCAGGAAUCUCCUCUGCUACCUAUAGAACCCAGAACCUAUAAAGAAAAACCAGAGCUGUGUGCAGUGGCAAACACCUAUAAUCCCAGCACUUUGGGAGGCUGAAGCAGGAGAAUCUCAAGUGCAGCACAACCCAAGCAACUUCGAACAUUAGGGAAACCCUGACUCAAAAAUUUAAAAACUAAAUAAAAAGGGGUUGGGGACAGAGUUCAGGGCAAAGGCCCUGGGUUGAAUCACAAAUGACACACACACAAACUAGCCCUGACAGUCAAUGAAUUCAGCAUCUCUGUGAUUAUUUAUAGCCGCUUCCCUGUUUAUAUGAGUGGAUGUCUGGAAAUUUCUUUUAAGGUGGAGCUUCUCAAACUGGCUGCUUACACCUAUCUCAAAGGUCACAAACUAGGCUUUGCAGACCACAGCCAGCCAGGUUAGGGACAGCGUUUCUGAAAUGAAAACUAGGAGUCAUCAUUUCUUAAAAGUACAUAAAAAUACAUAGGUUUAUAAAAAAAAAACAGAUUUCUAUACACAGACUUAUAUAAAAAUAGAUUUACUUAUCUCAGAGGAAAAUAACACCAGAGGAGGCAGCCCAGCCGUCAGAUGUUAUUUCCACUGGGCGGUGGUGGCCGUGGGCAUUGACCCAGGAAGUAGAGAAGCAGCGGGUCGUUCGCAGGCAGGGUGGGGCUGGGAGGGUUAUUGGUUUUCUCCCAAGCCUGGGAACCAGAAUUCCAGUCGAUGUCCCUUCUGUUGCUAUGGCAACAUGGAGACCAAGCACACCUCCCUAGACAGCUGCGAAGAUCUGUUUCCGACAGCACAACCGAGCUUCCUCUUCCCUCCCCAUGAGAUCAGCUUGGGUUCUUCCUGUUUCUUCCCUGCUGCUCCUCUUGCCCCGGCAAGGCACAGCGCCCUGACUCUUGUUCUCUCAAAAGUCCACCGAGGAGAAAGGUGGCCAGCAGCCGCGUGAGCACUUAAAAGGCGCCUCGCGCAAGCUGAGAUGCACAGUGAGUGAAAAACACACCCUGGAUCUUAAACCCUGGGUUCUAAAACAAUGUAAAGCCGGC